Molecule: unclassified non-coding RNA, 359 nt
Filed under: uncultured bacterium
Lineage: Bacteria
Description: contains 16S-23S intergenic spacer region
Source: RNAcentral
UCCGGUUUGUACCGGCGGUCCCGCCAGAGAAGGUAACUGGCAGCAGGGGUUGCGCUCGUUGCGGGACUUAGCCCAACACCUCACGGCACGAGCUGAUGACAGCCAUGCAGCACCUGUGCUAGCCCCUUACGGACACGGGCUUUCACCCGCUUUAACUAGCAUGUCAAGCCUAGGUAAGGUUCUUCGCGUUGCAUCGAAUUAAGCCACAUGCUCCGCCGCUUGUGCGGGUCCCCGUCAAUUCCUUUGAGUUUUGGCCUUGCGGCCGUACUCCCCAGGCGGAACACUUAACGCGUUGGCUGCGGCACAGAGGGAUUCGACUCCCCCCACACCUAGUGUUCAUCGUUUACGGCUAGGACUAC